UGAGGGACGAAAGCUGGGGGCACGAACCGGAUUAGAUACCCGGGUAGUCCCAGCCGUAAACGAUGCUCGCUAGGUGUCAGGCAUGGCGCGACCGUGUCUGGUGCCGCAGGGAAGCCGUGAAGCGAGCCACCUGGGAAGUACGGCCGCAAGGCUGAAACUUAAAGGAAUUGGCGGGGGAGCACAACAACGGGUGGAGCCUGCGGUUUAAUUGGAUUCAACGCCGGA
RNAcentral lists this ribosomal RNA (225 nucleotides) under uncultured Methanosarcinales archaeon. RNAcentral describes it as "partial 16S ribosomal RNA". It matches the Rfam family "Archaeal small subunit ribosomal RNA", at positions 698 to 922 of the family's 1478-position model. The record is from RNAcentral. Lineage: Archaea; Methanobacteriati; Methanobacteriota; Methanomicrobia; Methanosarcinales.